AUACGUAGGGGGCGAGCGUUAUCCGGAAUUAUUGGGCGUAAAGAGUGCGUAGGUGGUUCUUUAAGCGCAGGGUCUAAGGCUACGGCUUAACUGUAGUUCGCCCUGUGAACUGGAGGACUUGAGUGCAGGAGGGGAAAGCGGAAUUCCUAGUGUAGCGGUGAAAUGCGUAGAUAUUAGGAGGAACACCAGUGGCGAAGGCGGCUUUCUGGACUGCAACUGACACUGAGGCACGAAAGCGUGGGUAGCAAACAGGAUUAGAUACCCUGGUAGUCCACGCCGUAAACGAUGAGCACCAGGUGUCGGGGUCGCAAGACUUCGGUGCCGUAGUUAACGCAUUAAGUGCUCCGCCUGGGGAGUACGUACGCAAGUAUGAAACUCAAAUGAAUUGGCGGGG
Molecule: ribosomal RNA, 394 nt
Filed under: uncultured bacterium
Lineage: Bacteria
Description: partial 16S ribosomal RNA
Rfam family: Bacterial small subunit ribosomal RNA
Source: RNAcentral